RNAcentral lists this transfer RNA (71 nucleotides) under Cordylochernes scorpioides. RNAcentral describes it as "tRNA-Gly". It matches the Rfam family "tRNA". Rfam says of the family: Transfer RNA (tRNA) molecules are approximately 80 nucleotides in length. The record is from RNAcentral. Lineage: Eukaryota; Metazoa; Arthropoda; Arachnida; Pseudoscorpiones; Chernetidae.
CCAUCGGUGGUUCAGUGGUAGAAUGCUCUCCUGCCACGCGGUCGGCCCGGGUUCGAUUCCCGGCCUAUGCA